UUUAACAUUUAAAAAUAUAUUAGUUAAUAAACUCAAAUUUGAAUCUACACUUCUCUAAUUCUCAUGAAAAAAAUUAUUGGGCCUUAAAGAUCGGCCAAAUGGUUCAAUCUCUCUUUGGGUACUAGCAGGGUUCGCAAGAGAAGUGCCAGUAAGACCAUUUGCAGCAGAUUCUUUCCCUUCUGAGACAGAAGUUGUCUUCUGAGCAUGGUCAUUAUCCGGUGAAACUUGCUGGCAUGGGUAUCCUUUCACUGCUUGUUCUUUCCCACCAAAACCAAGUGAAUUCAUGGAACAUGCACCAGAUUCAGAAGGACCAUUCCUUACCAUUUGCACAGCAUGACCUUCUAGCUUCUGUGGUACAGAGGAAGUUGCUUCUGAAUCAUUAUUAGAUUGAAUGUUGGGCUUAAACAUAUUGGAUGAAGCCUUAAAAGCCUGCACACCAAAUGAACGUUGCUGUGUUGAAAUGUUGGUCCAUACAGGAGCCGACGUUCUUGCAGACGCAUACUCCUGUGAUUUGCCAGAUACAUUAGAACCCUGAAGAGCUGGCACAGCUUCCAAAACAGGAAAUUGCUGGGCAGAAUCUUUUGCGCCAUUUUGGUUGUUAUUACUGAACUGAUGCAUCUCACCAGAGGAAGUAACAUCAUUAUGUGAAGUAAUUCUAGAGUCGUCUGGCAAUGAAGCUAGUGCUGACUGACCACUUCGAGCUCUCUCAAAAGAUUCAGUCACCUGUUUUGACUGAGAUGUAAACCCAUCAAAAUAUGCAUUGACAGACUGACUGUUUGUUGCUCGUGCGCCCAUAUCGUACAUGUGCUGAUUUUGACUAUGACUUCUUGAAUAAGGAAAUCCAGGGGAAAGAGCAGCAGAAAAAUUUCCCUGGGCAGUCUUGCCACUUUGUCCUGAGAUACCACAAAUAUUAUUCCUCAAUUCUUCUUGAGAUAUUUCACAAGAAAGAGGAAAGCCCUGAACAGAGGUUGUGGAAGCCAACCAUUUAUGACCCUUCUCCCCUACUUCAGAAGUGACACAAGUUGAACUGAUGGAGUUAUUUUUCUGUGAGGGGCUCUGAGAAGAUAGGGCAUGCUCUUGACUAGGCAAGGGUUGAGAUGGGGGAACAAGUUGAAAACCAAAAACUUGAGAAGCGGAAGUCUGAUUUUGUUGGAGUUGAACAGAUCCAUCAGAAUUUUUUACAUCAUGCAUCUCAGAAGACUGAUUGCAGUUAGAAGAGGCGAAGUGUGUUGCAUUUCCACACUCCCUUGAUUGGUCCACCUUAUGAAGAAGCUCAAGCAUAUUUUGACUUGAGGGUGUUGCCUUGCUUGUUGUGUACACAGCUCUGUCAAAGGAAGCAGAUGUACUAGGUGCUGAACCUGCAACUAUGUUUUUCACAUUUAUCCCAUCUAAACCUUUUGUUUCUCCUUGACCCGGAAAAUGAAGCUUGUCAAUUUCCGUAGAAUUUCUAGCUAUCUGAGUAGGAAAUUUUGAUUGCCCAAUACCCCCAUGAUCAUGACCUUUAAACCGUUGAGAAAUCUGCAUUGGCAUGGACUGUGAAUGUUUGAGAUGUUUUGUUCCAUAAGAAGGUUCAACAUCAGCAUCCAGAUCCCCCAUAGGAUGAUACUGAAAUUUACGGACUCCUGAGGGCUUUCGGCCAAUAUGAAUAGAUGACUUUAGUUUUCCUCCACACAAAGUAGGUGAAUCAUUUGCAUCUAGCCAAGUUUUUUCUCUGGCACCACUAGUAGAAGUAUGGUGGGAUACAGUGAUAAAGCUAUCAGUUUUGCUUUCUUUUGUAUCAGGGUAAUCAUGAGUUUCAAUUGCACCAUUGCCCAAACUAUUGUUUCCUGUUAAAGUUUGAUGACUCUUAUCCAUAUGAGGCUGGUAUUUUCCUGGAAACUCACGUCCUUUAGUGUUGACUGAAGAACCAAUAUUUUUCCAGAUAUCAAUAUUAUUACCAUUGGGAAGCUGCUGGCUGUUUUCCUCGUUAGCCCUUACAGUGCUUGAAUCAGGCAAUGCAGCAACAUUAUUCAGGUUAGAAUCUUCUCUAUUAACUUGUGGGCUUCCAGUGGCGGAUUUUGAACGCUCCAAUUCAACAAUUGAAUUAGAAACACUAUCAGUCUUCCAUGUACCAGCACCAUAGCCCAUUACCUCAAACAUGGGACUCUUGAGCUCAGUCAUCUGAGAAGUUUGCAAUGUGUUCUCAUUACCCUGGUUCUUCAAAACAUUACCUGUGCCUAGCGGCAUAGAAUCAAUAAACUUCCAACCAUUUGGUCUAAUGCCUGGUUGGCUACCAUUACUAUAAGAGGAUAUGCUCUGUUGAUUUGCCCAAGAACCUGAAAUGUUCUUUGCAUUUGAUUCUGCAUCUGAGGCCUGAACACCUUCAUAACUAUGGCUGCCUUCAGAAACUGGCUUUCGUAAAGGAUUGCAAUCCAACCAUUUGGUUCCCUCUCCAGAAAAUGGCUGAACAAAUCUUUGAGAAGAACCAGUAUGCAACCUCUCUCGCCAUUCAUGUGAUAUAUUCGCUCCAGAUUGCUUAACCCCAGGCAUAUUGUUAUAGUUGAUACUUGAGUUCACGCCAUCACACAUAUUAUAGGGUAUAGGAUUUGGCAUGGAGGCAACCUGCAAUCUGUUAGUGUUGUCAACUCCAGUGGAUUGCUGUUUCCCACUAUCACUCAUAGUUGGGGUCUGUUGAUUCUCAGCUGGGGGUUCACUACACUGGAAAGUCAGACCUGUCCACUCUUCUUGCAGUCCUGUAUCAGCACUUGACGUUUCUGCUACAGCCGACUGCAUAAGAGCACUCCAACUCCCACUUUGCACAGAAGGAAAUGCACCAAGAAAAUCUAUGCCAUCCAACAUAUUAAAACCUCCAGCUCCAUUGUUGGUACCUCUGUCAAAAGCUUUCCACAGAUUAUCAUCUGCACCAAACAAAAUCCUUUCUUCAGUUGGGUCUAGGGUAGCCACAUUCUGUGAAGGGGCAACCCGCAUUGCUGUCUUCUCCAGUGAUGUUUCUGAUGGACCACCUAGAUCUUGCCUCCCAUGAAAAUCCAGCCCAGGCCCAUUGCUUUGAUGGGGAUCUACUUGCUGCAAGUUUUCCAAAUCAAAUCCACCAUCUAGGCCUUGGCUAUCAGCAGUCCCUAACAUAUUUUUUCCCUGAUAUCCCUGCCUGGAAGAAAAAGUACCAUCCUGCAUGCUAGCUGGGUCUGGAAACCCAGCAUAUUGAUUACCUGAAAAGGGAUUACUGCUGCCUGAUAUCUGCUGUAUUGUGGACUUAUCCAUUUGGACAGGAGAGUAUUGGCUUGGACCAACUCUUGUUCCAGAGAUAGGAACACCAUAAAGCGAUUGAUCAACCUGCUGAGGAAUCAUUCCUGCCAAGGGCGGUGCCCGGCCAUGCUCAGGGGAAAACAUUAACCCACUAGAGGAUCCUUGCAUAGCCGGAGACAUACCACGCUGUAGCCAGUUUGUAUUAGCGGCCAUAUGAUCAGGCUGCCACGAAUAAUUAGAUGCAUCAUGCAUAUGAAUCCCAUUGACCAAAGUUGAUGGAUGACUGCCCGCAGCCUGUUUUGCGAAAGAGGAAACCUGAUUUACAGAAUUCAGUUGCCUUACUCCUUGUUGCUGCAAUUGGUGUUUCUGAUGCUGUUGCUGCCUCUGAAUUUCUUGCAUUUGCUUGAGCAUGACCUGUUGCUGUAGUGGCUGCAUAUCUCUAAUCCCUGACUGCAGUCUUGGUAAAGAUUGCAACAUGCCAGGAUGCUGGCUGCUCAUUUUCUGUUGACCUCCCAAAAAAUCAAAAUUAACAGGAGAUUCAUUAAAAUCCAUCGUUGCUGAAUUGUUCUUGUGAAGUGCAGGACCACUUCCUAACUGUGCAUCAAGAAUUGAAAAGCCUCUUGAUGUUAAAUUACAUCGAUCAGGUUCCGUAUCCACUCCCAAAAAGUUUGCAUCAUUCUGCCUUGUCUGGAAAGCCUGAUUCCCAUGCAUAUAGCCAUUCAAAGUUGGUUGUUGGUUUUGAGAUUGACUUCUAGCAACCUCAGGCCUCAGAAUUGAUUGAGAAAAAUUCACACCAUGCUGCGCACUUGAUGACUGUUCCCCAUGUCCUCUCUCAGAAUCAGCUGAUUGCUGUAGAGAGUGAUUCUUCAAAUUAGAAAAAGGUGUGCCAAUUUGUCUCUGACCACCAGCCCACGGAUUGUUACCUAGCACAGGCCAGGUCCCAUCAACAACCUCUGAGUGGUGCUGGCCAGGAGAGCCAUGAGACAAGUUCCCCUGGCCAAAGAAAUUAUGGAUCCUAUCUCCAACUUCGUUGCCAGGCAUAGAAUCCAACACACAAAUUGUCAGCAGCUAAAAUUUUGUGGCAGGAAUAUCAAUACCUCCUUUCUGCUCAUUUACGUGUCACUCCAACCGCCAUGUUCAAGUCAUUCAGAAUCUCAUUGGUUUCGCCCUGACGCCUCCGUUUGAACUCGAAACAGAUCUUCUAAAACUGUGAAUUUGUUAAAUAACUUAGGGUUUGAAUCAAGAGAUGCAGAAAGAAAUAGAGUAAUGAGCCGUCUCUAACCUCAGAAGAGAUAGAGAGAGAGAGAGACAGAGAGAAUGGCCAAAAUGCGUAACUGGGGUUUAUAAAGAGCAGGUUUAAGGAGACCCUAAUUUGUUUUGAAAUUGAAUCGCCUGCUGUGUGGUGCACAGAAUUGAGCUGAUCUGGAUCAUGUAUCUAGUUGUUACGGUGAAUGAUUGGUUUG
Molecule: unclassified non-coding RNA, 4706 nt
Filed under: Hevea brasiliensis (rubber tree)
Lineage: Eukaryota; Viridiplantae; Streptophyta; Magnoliopsida; Malpighiales; Euphorbiaceae
Source: RNAcentral